Molecule: long non-coding RNA, 268 nt
Organism: Solanum pennellii
Lineage: Eukaryota; Viridiplantae; Streptophyta; Magnoliopsida; Solanales; Solanaceae
Exons: 3
Source: RefSeq, a predicted model, not a curated record
GCUGAAGGGAGUAGAUAAGAGUGAUUGGGAAUGGUAGGUCAAGGAACAUUUUUUAUCUGAUAAAUUUAAGGAUGCAAGUACAAGAAACUCAGUCAAUAGGUCUAAGUUGUGUAUGCCUCAUCGUAUGGGUAACAAGCCUAUUAGAGAGAUUGUUUACGAAAUGGGAGGCAAAGAUGGUAAUCCACCAAACAUGGAAACUAUUUUCUUUGAGACACGUAAGAAGGGAAAUGAGCUUGUUGAACCUGAAACUGCUGAAAAAUAUGUAUGU